AUCCAGCUUGCGAGUCUCAAAUAGGACGAAACGCACGUCCUGGAU
Molecule: non-coding RNA, 45 nt
Filed under: Schistosoma mansoni
Lineage: Eukaryota; Metazoa; Platyhelminthes; Trematoda; Strigeidida; Schistosomatidae
Source: RNAcentral